This 254-nucleotide ribosomal RNA is filed under the name uncultured bacterium. Its description in RNAcentral is "partial 16S ribosomal RNA". It matches the Rfam family "Bacterial small subunit ribosomal RNA", at positions 524 to 776 of the family's 1533-position model. The record is from RNAcentral.
UACGUAGGGUGCGAGCGUUGUCCGGAAUUAUUGGGCGUAAAGAGCUCGUAGGCGGUCUGUCGCGUCGGUCGUGAAAACUUGGGGCUUAACCCUGAGCUUGCGGUCGAUACGGGCAUGACUGGAGUUCGGCAGGGGAGACUGGAAUUCCUGGUGUAGCGGUGAAAUGCGCAGAUAUCAGGAGGAACACCGGUGGCGAAGGCGGGUCUCUGGGCAGUAACUGACGCUGAGGAGCGAAAGCGUGGGGAGCGAACAGG